CCAGCCUUGUUUCAAUAAGUCCCCUUUAUUGUAUAGACACAGCAAGAGGGCUUUGAGCCAGCCCAUUCAGCCUGGGCUUCCCAUAGGAUUACAUAUCUAAAUAUAUGGAAGUAAAAGUGGCCCGAGCAGCCACCAGGGCCACUGUGUCUGAGUCUGAGUGUCCUGGUCGCAGAGAGCCCAGCUGAGAGGUCAGGCGUCGAGCGAGUAGGUGCCAUGGUGUGGGAUACCGUCAUGUCUGCCUGGUGAGGUGAGGGAGGGAGACGGGAGAGGAAAUGGAAUGGAAAAUGGCCCUGGCUGUUUGCACCAUGUGGAGAGGACACCUAGCCAGUCUCCAUAUCCUCAGGGCUACUGGGGUCAAGACAUUAAAGCUAGGGGUGAGAUAGCUGUCCCUCUCUGACUGGAGCUCUUUGAUGACGUGAGGGAAGCCUUUGUGUGUGUAAUAGCCAGGAGGACCCGGAUAAAGAGGCCCUUUCUGCCCACUAAAAGCCUUUGUUGUCUGGGCUAAGUGGAGAUGGAGGGGUGGAGGGUUAAGGUGUCCGCGUGCUGCGAAUCCGGAACAGUUCGUGCACAUAAUAUGGAGACAUUUUGUCUCGUUAUAGUCUUCGGCAAGGUUUUUUUUUUACUGUUUGUGCAUACAAUAUUUUUUCUCGAGGCAAGCCGAAAUUCAGUUGCCGAAGUCUAUGCCCCUUCGGCGGUGUUUGGUCAACUGUAGGGGCUAAGAUUCAGCCCGAAACCCAUUGUGGAUUCAAAAUGGCGAAUGACAACAACUACAAUAGUUGGUGGGGGUUCUUGCAGGAACCUAACUGCCCAACUGAUUCACUUGGAUUUGAAUUUGAAAGGACUGCAGGUGCAGGAACUUAACUGAAAAAUGUAAAGAUCUCUUGUAUGAUCUAAAUUGAUAUUGUUUUAUGAUGAUACCAUCUAUCUUUUAAUAUUUGUGGAAAUCUUUUUAAAAAUAGAAAAUGGACCCAAUUUAAUGGAUAUCAAUCAACAAAGAGGUAUACAGACGAGGAGGCAUAGAAAGGUAUUGGUAUGUUAUGCAGAUCACAUUUACCAUCCUCCUCCCUUACCUCUUCAAUAAAAAUCACAUAGGCCUCUACAUUAUGGACAAGGUAUGUGUAUGAAAACCAAUUUCAAAAGUGUUUUUCACAUUUACCACAAAAACCAAGGUAUGAAUACUGUCGUGUGCAUGUUUUGUUAAUCAUCUGUAUAAUUACUAUUUUUGAAUUCACAGACUUCACCCUCCCUACACCUCUGAUUAAUAUAACAGGAAACCUGUUUGAUCACCAUGUACUGCAAAAUCAUUCUGGCUAUG
Salmo salar (Atlantic salmon) is the source of this 1315-nucleotide non-coding RNA. Lineage: Eukaryota; Metazoa; Chordata; Actinopteri; Salmoniformes; Salmonidae. The record is from RefSeq and is a predicted model, not a curated record.